UAACUGUAUAUUCCUAUUGAAAUUUUGUUUUCAGGUUCAUUCAGACCCAAAUAACGGCACCCCCAUCCUCCUAAAUACUCCUCUAAAUAUUUAAUUUUUAAUAUUAGGAUCAGGUGUGUAGGUAUUGGUGUAGUUUUAUACAUUUUAAUCUAACAUCUUAUCAUAACCAUUUCCAUAUUACAAACUCUAGAAGUUUCCUUUCUUUAAACUGUUGCAGUUGUGUUUCAUCAAGUGGGUGCUUUAAUUUUUGUAGACCUGACUUAGACAUAGCUACAACACUUCCAGGCACGUGUGAUGGAUUUCCUUUAACCCAAGUUACUUUCUUCUUUGAUGAGCUGUGGUGUUUUUCCAUAUGUGCCGUGGACAGAUCAGUUGAGCAUUUUUGUCAUCUGCAAAUCAUUUUGGUCAAGUGGCAAGGGUAUGGACUGUGGAGUAAGAAGAGCCUGCUUCUGCCUCUGGUUCUAAUCUACAGGAACAAGAUAUUUUUAGUACUAGAAGAAGAAGGUUCCAGGUUUUGGGAGAUCAUCAUUUCUGGCAGCAGCCUGACCUGA
Molecule: long non-coding RNA, 551 nt
Filed under: Rhinolophus ferrumequinum (greater horseshoe bat)
Lineage: Eukaryota; Metazoa; Chordata; Mammalia; Chiroptera; Rhinolophidae
Description: lncRNA (ENSRFEG00010009992.1)
Source: RNAcentral